RNAcentral lists this ribosomal RNA (528 nucleotides) under Leptodontidium sp. BESC803v. RNAcentral's name for it is "eukaryotic LSU rRNA". It matches the Rfam family "Eukaryotic large subunit ribosomal RNA", at positions 1 to 534 of the family's 3401-position model. Lineage: Eukaryota; Fungi; Ascomycota; Leotiomycetes; Helotiales; Leptodontidiaceae. The record is from RNAcentral.
ACCUCGGAUCAGGUAGGGAUACCCGCUGAACUUAAGCAUAUCAAUAAGCGGAGGAAAAGAAACCAACAGGGAUUACCUCAGUAACGGCGAGUGAAGCGGUAACAGCUCAAAUUUGAAAGCUGGCUCUUUUAGGGUCCGCGUUGUAAUUUGUAGAAGAUGCUUCGGGUGUGGCCCCGGUCUAAGUUCCUUGGAACAGGACGUCAUAGAGGGUGAGAAUCCCGUAUGUGACUGGGUGCUUUCGCUCAUGUGAAGCUCUUUCGACGAGUCGAGUUGUUUGGGAAUGCAGCUCAAAAUGGGUGGUAAAUUUCAUCUAAAGCUAAAUAUUGGCCAGAGACCGAUAGCGCACAAGUAGAGUGAUCGAAAGAUGAAAAGCACUUUGGAAAGAGAGUUAAACAGUACGUGAAAUUGUUGAAAGGGAAGCGCUUGCAACCAGACUUGCGCGCUGAUGAUCAUCCGGGCUUCUGCCCGGUGCACUCGUNUGCGCUCAGGCCAGCAUCGGUUUCGGUGGUGGGAUAAAGGCCUUNNGAA